UUGAUUAGAACUCUUCUAAUCGAUUUAAGUCCAAACUGCGCGAACCCAAACUUAACAAUUAGAAUCCUUUCUAAUUGGUGAUCGAAUUAAACUCUUUAAUUCGAUCAAACCUAUAAGACAAGAUUGACGUCUAGCAACGUGUCAUGUCUAUCCGAAAAAUAUGGAAUUUGGUAGAAAUACCAAAAAUACCCUUCAGUGGCAAGUUACCGUGCAAUUCAAUCCUUUAAACAAACU
This 234-nucleotide long non-coding RNA is filed under the name Phoenix dactylifera (date palm). Its description in RNAcentral is "long non-coding RNA (PDAC_LNC015475)". Lineage: Eukaryota; Viridiplantae; Streptophyta; Magnoliopsida; Arecales; Arecaceae. The record is from RNAcentral.